CAGCAGCCGCGGGAAUACCGAGGGUGCGAGCGUUAAUCGGAUUUACUGGGCGUAAAGCGUGCGUAGGCGGCUUUUUAAGUCGGAUGUGAAAUCCCUGAGCUUAACUUAGGAAUUGCAUUCGAUACUGGGAAGCUAGAGUAUGGUAGAGGAUGGUAGAAUUCCGGGUGUAGCGGUGAAAUGCGUAGAGAUCUGGAGGAAUACCGAUGGCGAAGGCAGCCAUCUGGCCUAAUACUGACGCUGAGGUACGAAAGCAUGGGGAGCAAACAGGAUUAGAUACCCGUGUAGUCCCUGUCUCUUAUAC
Molecule: ribosomal RNA, 301 nt
Filed under: uncultured bacterium
Lineage: Bacteria
Description: partial 16S ribosomal RNA
Rfam family: Bacterial small subunit ribosomal RNA
Source: RNAcentral